Non-coding RNA from Chlamydotis undulata (Houbara bustard), 46 nucleotides. The record is from Rfam. Lineage: Eukaryota; Metazoa; Chordata; Aves; Otidiformes; Otididae.
AUAAAGGAUUUUUUAAAAUCCCUCAAUCAGAAAAUAUAAAAGCACG